UAUGGAUUUUUUUCGCACAAAAAGGUAGAAUAGAAGGGUUUUGUAUUGGUUUUUCAUCAAAAGAUUUUAAAAGUUUUCCUAAAAAUUUUUGUUGUAAUUGAGGAUCUUCAACUUGGGUAAGAAUUUCUAAGAGCAACUUUUGAUCUUUUGAAAGGACAUUGAUUUUUAAUUUGGGUUCUGUAAACAUUUCAUUUUCUAUUUCAGAAUCUGAACUGGAUGAUGAACUUGUAAUUAAUUCAUCAAUUUGUAAUCCUUCUUCAUUUUUUGUGGGUUCAGAAUAACUGGACUCACCUUUGGUUUCAACUAAAAGAGCAGUUAUUUUAUUGAUAACUUCUUCUUCUAAUUGUAACUCAUGAAGUUUUCUGUUUAACUUGCAAAAAUUUGUAGUGUGACCUUUCUUUCUGCAUUUGUAGCAAGUUAAAUCUUUGAAUUUUGUUUUGGAUUGAUGACUAGUUUUACUAGUUUUUUUUUAAGGUUUUUUGUAAUAGGAAUCUUUUUCUUAUUUUGAAGAGUUUUUGUAUUUUUUGGAUAAUUUUUUAUAAGGUUUUCUGCUACAACUUUCUCCACAAUCUGGAAUAGGGUUCUUGGUUCCUAUUUCAAAUUGUUUGCAGAAAGAUCCUAACUCUUGGCGAGUUUUCCUCAUUUCCCAUUUCAGAUGUUUUUAUAAUUUCAAAUCCUGACAAACCUUUAAACCUUCUUUUUGCGUGAGACUGACUAGUUCACCAUAGGUUAAUUUAUCAUACGGGAUUUGAUUUCCAAAUGCUUCCUUAAUUUUAUUCCUAACUUUUUCUCCUAAAAGGGUCGAAAGUCCAGCAAGAAAUUUUUCUUUCCAAAAGGGCUGAUUAAAAUAUUCUCUAAGCAUUGCCCUAGUAAGAAAAGUGUUUUUAUAAUACUGAAAAUCACUCAGUUUUUUGCAUCUAAGGUUUGAAAGGAGUUUGGCAUUCUUGUCCUUAAAAUGAGAUGGAUCACCUACGGAAUGUAAAGAAAUUGUCACAAUCAAGGUGGCUACUGCAUUUGGGAUUGGCUGGCCUAAUUCAUCAAGAAUCUCAGAUUUUUGUAGUUUUGUGAAAUGAUAAUCUCACCAUCCUUUGAGCUGUCCUGAGAAUCCUGCAAUGAGGAGUUCAGCAAUAGCUCUGUCUGGGGUUCCAGUUUGGGUUUUGUAAGCAUUUGCUGCCAUGGUCAUUUGCUGGAGCAAAUUCAAGAUGUUGUAUUCAGACAUACCAUCUAUGUUCCAUUCAUAGAUAGUAGAGGCAUUGAAUUUAGACUGGGUUAAAAUUUUAGGUCUAUUUUCUAUGCCUAAAUCUGGAGCUGUUAUUGGAAGGGGCAUUGCUAUCUUCGGCCAAUAAAGUCUAUUGAUUUGUAAAGGUUUUGAAGAAUGAAUUUCUUCAGUUUGGAUGGGCUGGUUUUCUUGGCUUUGGACAUCUGAAUCUGAAUCUUCCUCAAUUAUAUUGACACUCCUUUGGGAAGUUUGAGGUGUUUCAGGUGCUACUGGAAUAGAAGUCAAAGCUUCUAGUCUAGCUUUCAUGUCUCUUAAAGCUUGAAUGAAUUGAGAAUUGCUGUUGUUUUAUAAAUCUUUCUGGCCUUUUUUUGGAAACUUGAAAUGGUUUGAAGAUUGGGUUUUUUAGUUUUGUAUCAGGCUUAGUUUCAACCUGAGAAACUAUAGCCUGUUGGGUUUGUUCUAUUUUUUGUAAUUGCUUACCGAUGGUAUGCAAAUGAGCAUUUGUAAAGUUAUUCUAUAGAAUAAUAUUUUUUAUAUUCACAGAAUCAUUUUCAUUUGGAAUUUUGUAAGGGGCUGCUUCUACUGUUUGUUCCAAGUGGGAAAUUUUU
This 1827-nucleotide unclassified non-coding RNA is filed under the name Hevea brasiliensis (rubber tree). Lineage: Eukaryota; Viridiplantae; Streptophyta; Magnoliopsida; Malpighiales; Euphorbiaceae. The record is from RNAcentral.